Non-coding RNA from Pelobates cultripes (western spadefoot toad), 222 nucleotides. The record is from the annotation of a GenBank genome assembly. NCBI's taxonomy places the organism in Eukaryota, Metazoa, Chordata, Amphibia, Anura, Pelobatidae.
GUGUAAUGUGUGAAUGCCUAUAGUGACUGUAGUGUGUGUAGGAAGGUGAGAUGUGAGUAAAUCAAUAAAAAAAAAAAAGGAUAUGUACAUACAUAUAUAUGUAGGAAUGUAUGGGAAGAGAUAUGCAAAUGAUUGUUGCAAAACUUGCAGAAAAAUUGUGAUUGGAUGACUCAAGACAAGGUGAUCUAGCAACUUAAGAAAGAUAAUGUAAACAAAUCUUUG